Molecule: ribosomal RNA, 350 nt
Filed under: uncultured Pseudomonas sp.
Lineage: Bacteria; Pseudomonadati; Pseudomonadota; Gammaproteobacteria; Pseudomonadales; Pseudomonadaceae
Description: bacterial SSU rRNA
Rfam family: Bacterial small subunit ribosomal RNA
Source: RNAcentral
GGGAAUUCGAUUAUGGCUGUCGUCAGCUCGUGUUGUGAAAUGUUGGGUUAAGUCCCGUAACGAGCGCAACCCCUAUCCUUAUUUGCCAGCACUUCGGGUGGGAACUCUAAGGAGCNCUGCCGGUGACAAACCGGAGGAAGGUGGGGAUGACGUCAAGUCAUCAUGGCCCUUACGAGUAGGGCUACACACGUGCUACAAUGGCCGGUACAGAGGGCUGCAAACUCGCGAGGGUAAGCUAAUCUCACAAAACCGGUCGUAGUCCGGAUUGGAGUCUGCAACUCGACUCCAUGAAGUCGGAAUCGCUAGUAAUCGUGAAUCAGAAUGUCACGUGAUACGNUAUCCCGGGCCUU